UGGUCUGCGUCCCUCAACCAGGUGGGCCCAGCUCAUCCUGGCUCCGAUGUCACCAACGUCUGUGGGUCCCCUUCGGUCCGGCAGGGGAAAGCAGGUGCUCAGUGGCAGGAGAAGGAGAGUCCACGGCUGGGUGCUGCUCUUAUGAGCCUGGCGUCACCACAGGGAGUGUGUCACAGUACCCCCAUAACCCACCCCUUUUACCAGAGAUGCCCUCUGGAAGCUGCCCAUUCCGGGGCCGCUACUCAGUGCAAUUCUUCUGGUGACUAAUGACAGUGCCCACCACCCCCAGCUGAGGCCUCAGCAGCUGCAUGGUGGAACCUUUUGCAGACAGGCUUCCUGGUGGCCAACUUGUUCCUCAGCGCAGACUGGGUUCCCACGUGUCAUGCCACGCCCCUCAGGCCAGGAAGCUAGUUCAGAUGUUUGAUUUCAUCAAAGUCCUGCCUCUGAGGGCCAGCCAGACUCCAAGGGCACUCUCCAGGCACACUUCCGGGCUCCUGCCUGCAUUUGGACCUCUGCUUCCGGGCUCCUGCCCGCAUUUGGACCUCUGCUUCCGGACUCCUGCCUGCGUUUGGACCUCUGCUUCUUGGCCCUUUUCUUCAGCCACCACCUGCCACCAUGGACUUUGCCAGCACCCAGUACCCAGGGCGGUGUGGAGGCGGGAGCUGAGGGGGCCUACAUUGUCAUCCAGCAGUACAGGCCUCGUCAAGGUCAGAGGGCACAGGGAUCCAUCCCGCCCCUCCAUACUGCCCAUCUGAGAUGGACUACAGCCUGACUUAUGCACCUGUCCCUUGCUUCUCAUGGAGGGAGGGCUCGGAUUGCAUGGGUAAGGGCAUAUUCGUGACAGCCAGUCUGGGCCGUGCCCUCGCAGGCACUGAUCCAGCCCUCAGGCUCUUGGCUUUUUCUGAAUUUUGCCACAUGAUUCCUCCCAGAAUAGGACGCACCCUGGAAGCCCAUCCAGCUUUGAUGUCAGGCAGCCCUGAACCUCUGAAACUGAUGUCAUAGCAACCCUCGUGUCAUGAAGGUCAUGGGGACCCUCCGAGCCCUGAGUGGGCAUGGCUAGCAGCGUGCCCAGCCCACAGACGUUCACCAGCACUCUGGCCUCCCUAGUCUCCCCGCAGAGCCCUGGGGAGCUCUCUUCCCUUGGUGCUGUGCCCUACUGGAGGCGUGUCCCCAGACCCCUUGAUAGCUCUAGAAAACUCCGUGAGACUGAUCAGUAAGACCUACCCAAAUGGCUCUUGGAGUCACAGCCAGAGUGGUCCAGUUGAGGGAAGUAUCAAUGACGUUGGCUUAACAGUGCCGGAGAACGGGCUAGAUGGGCAAGGCGGGGCCCCACCUAGGUGGUGGGGUGCCGCCACAGGAGACGGGUAGACACAAUCACCGUAGUUUUCUGUGUCCUGGCUCGGGAGUCCUAUACCCAGGCAUCCCCAUCUCUGUUCUUCCAGCCUUGUGACCCAGAGCGAGAGGCCUACAGGCAGGACGAUGGGACCUGGUGGAAAGAACUCAGGACACCCCCACAGUCCAAGAGUGAGAUUGCCUCUCCAACGGCCCCCAUGACGGUGCCUUCCUCCGCUCAGCACGGGCCCUCAGUCAGCACUGCCUUUCGUGAAAUAACUUAAGCCUCAAGUUGAAGCCCCAAGUCAGUUUGAGGAAUAAAUGACUGUCGGUUA
Molecule: long non-coding RNA, 1667 nt
Organism: Mesocricetus auratus (golden hamster)
Lineage: Eukaryota; Metazoa; Chordata; Mammalia; Rodentia; Cricetidae
Exons: 2
Source: RefSeq, a predicted model, not a curated record